ACGAACGCUGGCGGCGUGCUUAACCCAUGCAAGUCGAACGGUGAACUCCGCUUGCGGGGGGAUCAGUGGCGAACGGGUGAGUAACACGUGGGCAACCUGCCCUCAGCUCUGGGAUAACUCCAAGAAAUUGGGGCUAAUACCGGAUAUGACCGCUGACCGCAUGGUCUGGUGGUGGAAAGAUUUAUCGGCUGGGGAUGGGCCCGCGGCCUAUCAGCUUGUUGGUGGGGUAGUGGCCUACCAAGGCGACGACGGGUAGCCGGCCUGAGAGGGUGACCGGCCACACUGGGACUGAGACACGGCCCAGACUCCUACGGGAGGCAGCAGUGGGGAAUAUUGCGCAAUGGGCGAAAGCCUGACGCAGCGACGCCGCGUGGGGGAUGACGGCCUUCGGGUUGUAAACCUCUUUCAGCAGGGACGAAGCGAAAGUGACGGUACCUGCAGAAGAAGCACCGGCCAACUACGUG
RNAcentral lists this ribosomal RNA (464 nucleotides) under uncultured bacterium. RNAcentral describes it as "partial 16S ribosomal RNA". It matches the Rfam family "Bacterial small subunit ribosomal RNA", at positions 29 to 507 of the family's 1533-position model. The record is from RNAcentral.